Long non-coding RNA from Sinocyclocheilus anshuiensis, 855 nucleotides. The record is from Ensembl. Lineage: Eukaryota; Metazoa; Chordata; Actinopteri; Cypriniformes; Cyprinidae.
GUUUUCCUGCUGGUGUCUCUUGUCUUCAUUGGUUCAUUGCUCUAUCUGCUUUUUAUUCCAGUUCUGUUUGUUCCUUUAUUUCUGCUUUUUUGUUUGUUUGUUUCUCUCAUCUGUAACUGUCCUCGUGAUCAAACUACAGACUGUCAAUACACUCCUAAUUUUAUUGGUGACAUGUGAGUGUGAGCAGCUCCCCUCAUCUUCAUCUCUGCUCUUCUCCAUAAAAUGCAUCUCAAUCUCAUCAUCUGCAGAGAAACUGCUGCUCGAUCACCAGAAUGAUGGCCUGAAUGCUUCAGAGAGGAUUGUGAAGAGAUUCCACUGGAACUUGUUCUUAAUCACAUCUGUGUUCUGAUUCCUUUGUGUUUUACUUCAUGCAUUUAUUAAUCUUCAGUGUCAGUUGUCAUUUAUUAAUACAUUCAGGUGAUAACUGUUCAAAGCAGUGAUAUUUGUGCUACAAUUUCACAUGCCAAUAAAAAGCAAAUUAUAUGGACACUUCAUGUUUAAUGGAAUUAAAUGAUUAGUUAAUUGCAUUUUAAUAGAUUACACUUUCAAUAACACAUUUGGAUUUGUUUGUAAAAGCUGUGUUUAUGCAUGGUUUUAAUACAGCGUGUGGUGUUUCCAGCGAUUCACUGAAUCAUUCUGUGAAGCAAUUGAUUCAGAGUUUGUAAAUGAUUAAUUUCUCCAUCGCUAGCAAAGCUGGGUUUCUGAUAUAUUUGAGCUUUAUCAUUGCGAAAAGCAAGCACGUUUAAUUUCCACUGGUUACAACAGAUUAAAGAUGAGACCCACUUUAUAAUAAUGUUAAAUUGAAUGCACUUUAAAUGCAUAAAAAAACCCAAUAAAUAAUUCUAAACAAGUCUC